UGGGGAAUAUUGCACAAUGGGCGAAAGCCUGAUGCAGCGACGCCGCGUGAGGGAUGACGGCCUUCGGGUUGUAAACCUCUUUCAGCAGGGAAGAAGCGAAAGUGACGGUACCUGCAGAAGAAGCGCCGGCUAACUACGUGCCAGCAGCCGCGGUAAUACGUAGGGCGCAAGCGUUGUCCGGAAUUAUUGGGCGUAAAGAGCUCGUAGGCGGUUAGUCGCGUCUGCUGUGAAAACUCGAGGCUCAACCUCGGGCUUGCAGUGGGUACGGGCCGACUAGAGUGCGGUAGGGGUGACUGGAAUUCCUGGUGUAGCGGUGGAAUGCGCGGAUAUCAGGAGGAACACCGAUGGCGAAGGCAGGUCACUGGGCCGCAACUGACGCUGAGGAGCGAAAGCAUGGGGAGCGAACAGGAUUAGAUACCCUGGUAGUCCAUGCCGUAAACGUUGGGCACUAGGUGUGGGGUCCAUUCCACGGAUUCCGUGCCGCAG
This 486-nucleotide ribosomal RNA is filed under the name uncultured bacterium. Its description in RNAcentral is "partial 16S ribosomal RNA". It matches the Rfam family "Bacterial small subunit ribosomal RNA", at positions 355 to 851 of the family's 1533-position model. The record is from RNAcentral.